This 606-nucleotide ribosomal RNA is filed under the name uncultured bacterium. Its description in RNAcentral is "bacterial SSU rRNA". It matches the Rfam family "Bacterial small subunit ribosomal RNA", at positions 246 to 842 of the family's 1533-position model. The record is from RNAcentral.
UAGUUGGUAGGGUAAUGGCCUACCAAGGCGACGAUGGUUAGCUGGUCUGAGAGGAUGAUCAGCCACACUGGAACUGAGACACGGUCCAGACUCCUACGGGAGGCAGCAGUGAGGAAUAUUGCGCAAUGGGGGCAACCCUGACGCAGCAACGCCGCGUGAGUGAGGAAGGUUUUCGGACCGUAAAGCUCUGUCGAGCGGGAAGAAAUGCAUGGUGGCUAAUAUCCAUCAUGCUUGACGGUACCGCUAAAGGAAGCACCGGCUAACUCCGUGCCAGCAGCCGCGGUAAUACGGGGGGUGCGAGCGUUGUUCGGAAUUAUUGGGCGUAAAGAGCGUGUAGGCGGCUGAAUAAGUCAGAUGUGAAAUCCCUGGGCUUAACCCAGGACGUGCAUUUGAAACUAUUCGGCUAGAGUAGGGGAGAGGAAAGUGGAAUUCCUGGUGUAGAGGUGAAAUUCGUAGAUAUCAGGAGGAACACCGGUGGCGAAGGCGACUUUCUGGCCCUAUACUGACGCUGAGACGCGAGAGCGUGGGUAGCAAACAGGAUUAGAUACCCUGGUAGUCCACGCUGUAAACGAUGUUCACUAGGUGUUGGGGGUAUUGACCCUCUCA